CGCCUCUUGUUUAUACAUAAGAGGUCCAGCCUGCCCAGUGAUAAAUUCAACGGCCGCGGUACCCUAACCGCGCGAAGGUAGCAUAAUCACUUGUUCCUUAAAUAGGGACUAGUAUCAACGGCAUCACGAGGGUUCUACUGUCUCCUCUCUCUAAUCAGUGAAAUUGAUCUCCCCGUGAAGAAGCGGGGAUAAUGUUAUAAGACGAGAAGACCCCAUGGAGCUUUAAACCAAGCAACAACUCAAUUUUAUAUUACCUAACAAACAAUAGAGAAGUGCUGCAAGGUUUUGGGUUGGGGUGACCACGGAGUAAAAAUUAACCUCCACGACGAAAAGACCUAGUCUUUAUUCAAGAAUUACCCUUCUAAAAAUUAGUACACUAACGAAUAAUGAUCCAAUAUUUGAUCAACGGACCAAGUUACCCUGGGGAUAACAGCGCAAUCUACUUCGAGAGCCCAUAUCGACAAGUAGGCUUACGACCUCGAUGUUGGAUCAGGGUAUCCCAGUGGUGCAGCCGCUACUGAAGGUUCGUUUGUUCAACGAUUAAAACCCU
RNAcentral lists this ribosomal RNA (550 nucleotides) under Polypedates cruciger (Sri Lanka whipping frog). RNAcentral's name for it is "partial 16S ribosomal RNA". It matches the Rfam family "Bacterial large subunit ribosomal RNA", at positions 1832 to 2597 of the family's 2925-position model. RNAcentral also lists the same sequence under 1 other name. The record is from RNAcentral. Lineage: Eukaryota; Metazoa; Chordata; Amphibia; Anura; Rhacophoridae.